Molecule: ribosomal RNA, 421 nt
Filed under: Phaeocystis sp. RCC5646
Lineage: Eukaryota; Haptophyta; Phaeocystales; Phaeocystaceae
Description: SSU rRNA
Rfam family: Eukaryotic small subunit ribosomal RNA
Source: RNAcentral
GCGUCCUUCUUUCCGGAGACCGCGCCUACUCUUAGCUGAGCGGGCGCGGGAGACGGAUCGUUUACUUUGAAAAAAUCAGAGUGUUUCAAGCAGGCAGCUCGCUCUUGCAUGGAUUAGCAUGGGAUAAUGAAAUAGGACUCUGGUGCUAUUUUGUUGGUUUCGAACACCGGAGUAAUGAUUAACAGGGACAGUCAGGGGCACUCGUAUUCCGUCGAGAGAGGUGAAAUUCUCAGACCAAUGGAAGACGAACCACUGCGAAAGCAUUUGCCAGGGAUGUUUUCACUGAUCAAGAACGAAAGUUAGGGGAUCGAAGACGAUCAGAUACCGUCGUAGUCUUAACCAUAAACCAUGCCGACUAGGGAUUGGAGGGUGUUCUAUUUGACCUCUUCAGCACCUUACGGGAAACUAAAGUCUUUGGGUU